RNAcentral lists this ribosomal RNA (498 nucleotides) under uncultured bacterium. RNAcentral describes it as "partial 16S ribosomal RNA". It matches the Rfam family "Bacterial small subunit ribosomal RNA", at positions 30 to 523 of the family's 1533-position model. The record is from RNAcentral.
AUUGAACGCUGGCGGCAUGCUUUACACAUGCAAGUCGAACGGUAACAGGUCUUCGGAUGCUGACGAGUGGCGAACGGGUGAGUAAUGCAUCGGAACGUGCCCAGUCGUGGGGGAUAACGCAGCGAAAGCUGUGCUAAUACCGCAUACGAUCUAUGGAUGAAAGCGGGGGACCGUAAGGCCUCGCGCGGUUGGAGCGGCCGAUGUCAGAUUAGGUAGUUGGUGGGGUAAAGGCCCACCAAGCCAACGAUCUGUAGCUGGUCUGAGAGGACGACCAGCCACACUGGGACUGAGACACGGCCCAGACUCCUACGGGAGGCAGCAGUGGGGAAUUUUGGGCAAUGGGCGCAAGCCUGAUCCAGCAAUGCCGCGUGCAGGAAGAAGGCCUUCGGGUUGUAAACUGCUUUUGUACGGAACGAAACGGUCUGGGUUAAUACCCUGGGCUAAUGACGGUACCGUAAGAAUAAGCACCGGCUAACUACGUGCCAGCCGCCGCAGUAA